Long non-coding RNA from Corticium candelabrum, 1685 nucleotides. RefSeq lists it as uncharacterized. The record is from RefSeq and is a predicted model, not a curated record. The transcript has 4 exons. NCBI's taxonomy places the organism in Eukaryota, Metazoa, Porifera, Homoscleromorpha, Homosclerophorida, Plakinidae.
UUCGAUCCAGUCAUCAUCCGGCUUCUUCAUGGUCAUCUUCCGGCUACCGGUGCAACUGUCACAAGAUAUUCGUUCUCUAGCUAAAUGCAGAUGUACAAUAGAUGAUCGGGAACAGAGAGUACUUUAGUUUGCAUUACGAUCGCCAGUCCUGUAGCUUGAAAGCAGUCUGGGACGGCGAGGAAAGCACAAGGGUCCGAAAUCACCAGCAGCUUUGCAUCAUGGCCGGUGAUAUGUGUACCCGACAUGAGGUCUGGAGCAUCGAGUCGACGGUGUGGAAUCGCGAGCAAAGCGCGAGGGUACACAAAUCACCGGGUGCACAAAUCCCCGUGACAGCGGUGUACAGUUUGGAGCUCUAACGAAGUCGGAAACGAACAAAUUUUCCGAUGAGGAGAAGUGAUGACGAAGAUGAAGAUGUAGUUUCUGCUGCAACAGUUGCCUACCUACACUGGAAGUGCUGCCUUCGUCGUAGUCAGGCGGGGUGUAUUGUUUGACAGCGUUUCGAACACGCAGCUGGAGGACUUUGCAUGGCUCUGCAAAGGUCCUUUCUUGGAAGAGGGCAGAUUGUCAAGACUCUUUGGCCAUCUUGUUGACAUUACUACACAUCUUGAAUGGAUUCGCUGAACUGGCAUGAAAGUUGAUGGUCCUCCUUCUUCAAAUACACCUUGCUGCCAGUGUGACAACGGAGGGAAUGAUGGGAUUUGUGGACAAUGAAUAUACCAUUUAACGCAUGCAAAGAUGUGUUCAUGUUCAUGUCCAUUAAUUUCAAUAGAAUGUCAGAUGUAAAACAAAACUUUGCCGGGACGAAGGACAAAAUGUUCUUGGUCUACUUCUCCAUUACAACCUGCCCAUGAAGCCAAAAUGACACGACAUAGUCCUGUCCUGUUCUGUUCGCUUUGCCAUUUGUGACAUGUAUCUUUCAUCACCUAUAGUGACAGACUCAUGUUGGUGAUACGUAAUUACAGUGUUGUUGAUGUCAGGAAGCUGAUCUGGCAGGUACAAGAUUUUGUACGUUUGGUACAGAAAUUGCUUUUCUUCGUAAUCAAACGUGAUUAUCCUUGACCAGGAACAGGGCUUGAUGCUUUCAAAAACUACCCAGUUCUUUGUGUGAGCUGUUGUACUAAGUUUGCAAGUUGCUGCUUCCAGUAGAUUAUUUGUAUCUUUUAACACACUUGGCAUUGACUGGUCUUUAAUUUCUAUGCAUUUUAAAGUUUGAAAAGCUGCUUGAAAGAUGUCAUGGAAAUCAUUUUCUGGAUAAAAUUUUGCUGGAGGACUACUGAGAAGGCCAUGUGAAGAAGAUUGCAUAUAUUUGGAAGGUUGGAUCAGUGAAUGGCAUGUCAAAGUAGUGUCCAGCAAAAUCAUGCCACUAUUCAAGCUGCUAGUGCAACAGCUGUGACAUUUGUUUACCAGUUUACGAUGCUGUAUAAUUUAAUUCUAACCAGUUAUAGUCAUUACCGGUUGGAUAUAAUAAUAUAAACACACACGCACACACACACACACACCACAUAUAUAAUAAGCUAAGUGUAUACUGAGCACUGAUAACAAUCUGUGGCAUAUCAGUACUGAGUAGCAAGUCAAAUAACAACCUGUUUGUAGUUGUGUGUGUACAAUGUUGCAUUUAGUAACUCUUGCAUACUGCUUCAAGUGUGCUUUAGCGAAUUACAGUUAAUUAGUAAAAUUCAAGUACA